GAUGAACGCUGGCGGCGUGCUUAACACAUGCAAGUCGAGCGAGAAGUUUUGAAAAGAUUCUUCGGAUGAAAUUUAAAAUGGAAAGCGGCGGACGGGUGAGUAACGCGUAGGCAACCUGCCCCAUACAAAGGGAUAGCAUUUGGAAACGAAUAUUAAUACCUUAUGAAACUUAACUAGUGCAUGCUAGGUAGGUCAAAGAUUUAUCGGUAUGGGAUGGGCCCGCGUCUGAUUAGCUAGUUGGUGAGGUAACGGCUCACCAAGGCGACGAUCAGUAGCCGACCUGGGAGGGUGAACGGCCACAUUGGAACUGAGACACGGUCCAAACUCCUACGGGAGGCAGCAGUGGGGAAUAUUGCACAAUGGGGGAAACCCUGAUGCAGCAACGCCGCGUGAACGAUGAAGGCCUUUGGGUCGUAAAGUUCUGUUCUAGGUGAUGAAAACUGACAGUAACCUAGGAGAAAGCCCCGGCUAACUCCGUG
This 479-nucleotide ribosomal RNA is filed under the name uncultured bacterium. RNAcentral's name for it is "partial 16S ribosomal RNA". It matches the Rfam family "Bacterial small subunit ribosomal RNA", at positions 28 to 507 of the family's 1533-position model. The record is from RNAcentral.